UAGUUCCGGUCCGGCAGAGAUCGCGGAGAGACGCAGAACGCAGCCCGCGCCUUCAGGGCCCUCUGGCCCCGGGCCGGCGGAUGAACUGGGGGGCCUCGGGACAGGCCGAGCCCUCUGCCCUGCAGACACCGGAGGCCUCUGCUGUGGCUGCCCACUGGCUGUGCUCAGACCUUGAAGCCGCAGCGAACCUCUCUUUCCCACCCCACCUCGGUGACUGAUGGCGGCCGUGGCGUCUCCCAGCCCGGCCCCCGCCGGCACCCGGGUCUCCCGACCCAAGCCUGCUGGGCCUCGACGAAACCCCCGCAGAGCCGCCAGGACGCAGCGCCUUUGGGCGGCGCCGGGCGUGGUGGGCCGGGAAGUAUGGCGGCCGCUCGAACGCCGCGCGGCGGAGGCCAUUAAGGCGUGGACGGCCCGGAAGGCGGCCUAGGGACGCAAGCAGGCUUGGCCGCCUCUUUCGGCCACGGAGCCGCGCAGAUCCGGUUCCCGGGUGACCACUCUGUCGCCAUUGGGCGAGACCUACCUAGUCCUGACGACAACGGACAAAGGCCUUAAGGGGCCUGAAAGGUGAGCGAAGUCCCGAACAACGACGGGUGGAACGGUUAGCGGCCAUCGGGCGGUUGGUCUUCAUUCUACCAGACUUUGCUGUCGGAAGAGAGAAAUGGUAGAAUGACAGGCCACGUUUGGCCAGUUGGAAAUGCCCACCACCCUCUGGGAAGAUUUACUGGCCGUUUAUGGAAGGCCUGUGUAUAUAAUAUGAAAAAGCUGCUCUCAACUCCACCCCAACCUUUUAAUAGAAAACAUUUGUCACAUCUAGCCCUUCUAGAUGGAAAGAGGUUGUCGAGUUAUGAUAAAAGAGUUAGAAAGUUACACAUCUUGUAAAUUCUCAUUUGUUUAAAAGAAAUCGUAGAAAAUACAUGUCUUCUGGAGAUGACUUUUGGAAAUGGAAUUGUUAAGACGGCCUCUGGAAGCGAUACGUUCACGUUUGUUAAGUGGGUUAGAUGACAUGGAGCUGGAAGACCUGAGAAGGAAGAGAAGAAGGUUCUAUGCUAGACUGGUCAUAUUUAGAAGACAUUUUCAUAUUCUAUCCAUUGUUUUGUGUGC
RNAcentral lists this long non-coding RNA (1101 nucleotides) under Homo sapiens (human). RNAcentral describes it as "HSALNT0325712". Lineage: Eukaryota; Metazoa; Chordata; Mammalia; Primates; Hominidae. The record is from RNAcentral.